RNAcentral lists this transfer RNA (62 nucleotides) under Histeridae sp. BMNH 1274743. RNAcentral describes it as "tRNA-Cys". The record is from RNAcentral. Lineage: Eukaryota; Metazoa; Arthropoda; Insecta; Coleoptera; Histeridae.
GGCUUUAUAGUCAAAAUUGACGUCAAAUUGCAAAUUUGAAGGUGGUGUUGUACCUAAGGCCU